CAGGCGCGAAAACUUUACAAUGCGGGAAACCGUGAUAAGGGAACUCCGAGUGCCCGUAAAAUCGGGCUGUCCAUCUGUUUAAAUAACAGGUGAAGAAAGGGCCGGGCAAGACCGGUGCCAGCCGCCGCGGUAAUACCGGCGGCUCGAGUGGUGGCCACUAUUACUGGGCUUAAAGCGUUCGUAGCUGGUUUGUUAAGUCUCUGGGGAAAUCUGCCGGCUCAACCGGCAGGAGUUCCAGGGAUACUGGCAGACUAGGGACCGGGAGAGGUGAGGGGUACUCCAGGGGUAGGAGUGAAAUCCCGUAAUCCUUGGGGGACCACCUGUGGCGAAGGCGCCUCACCAGAACGGCUCCGACAGUGAGGGACGAAAGCUGGGGGAGCAAACCGGAUUAGAUACCCGGGUAGUCCCAGCCGUAAACGAUGCGCGUUAGGUGUAUCGGUGACCACGAGUCACCGAGGUGCCGAAGAGAAAUCGUGAAACGUGCCGCCUGGGAAGUACGGUCGCAAGGCUGAAACUUAAAGGAAUUGGCGGGGGAGCACCACAACAGGUGGAGCCUGCGGUUUAAUCGGACUCAACGCCGGAAAUCUCACCGGAUAAGACAGCUGGAUGAUAGUCGGGCUGAAGACUCUACUUGACUAGCUGAGAGGAGGUGCAUGGCCGUCGUCAGUUCGUACUGUGAAG
This 681-nucleotide ribosomal RNA is filed under the name uncultured archaeon. RNAcentral describes it as "bacterial SSU rRNA". It matches the Rfam family "Archaeal small subunit ribosomal RNA", at positions 336 to 1021 of the family's 1478-position model. The record is from RNAcentral.